This is a long non-coding RNA of Columba livia (rock pigeon), 2837 nucleotides long. RefSeq lists it as uncharacterized. The transcript has 2 exons. NCBI's taxonomy places the organism in Eukaryota, Metazoa, Chordata, Aves, Columbiformes, Columbidae. The record is from RefSeq and is a predicted model, not a curated record.
GCGCUUCUCGGAGCCGCCGCAGCUGGAGCGGCUCCCUCCGCCUCGCCUCGCCUCGCCUCGCCGCGGCGUGGCUGCCUCUGCCCUUCCCACCCCUCUGACCGCCGCCCGAGCUUCUUUUUUUCACCUUCUGGUGUGCGGAACGAGAGCGGAGUUUACGCUUAGGCCUGCGCCGAGAGGAAGGCAGCCAGCGAUUUUUGAAGAAGUGAGCGCUGAAAAAAACACACGUCUGGGGUUUUGGUGGGGAGGACUGCAAAAUGCCGCGUCGCGGGAGGCAGACCUAAAUAAGGCGCCUUAAAAUGAACCCACAAAGGCGGCCGUCGCCCUCCGUCCCGGCGGUGAGAUGUGUCAGCCCUGGGUCACUCGCUGGAGUUACUGUUGCCGCUCACGUCCGUCUCCGGGGUGUAAAGAGGCAGUGUGGCAGGAACUGAAACACCCGAUGCUGAAAGCGUUGCCGGGGCGAGGGAUUUCCAGGUGGAUGUACCGAACUGGAGCGGCUUUUGAAAACAACCCUUUUGGACGAACACUGGGGAAAAUGGUACAAUUGUGAAUAAUCAUAGUACAGAAUAGCGAAGAAGCGUUUAUAUCCAAUGAGUUAACUAUGUCUUUUUGUACUCACAUCGUUUUGCCGUCAGUACUUGAACCAACAUCCUUUGAUUUUUCGCGGAAGCCUUGCUUGUCUGUGGACUUCAGGAUUCAGCCGCAAGUUGGACACAGCUAUAAAUACCCUGUGGCAUGUAAAGACACCUUUUCAGCUCUGGAUGGAUAUUAUUUCCACAAAGGAUUAAUAUCUUACACCAAUGCACUUGAAUAUUUCCGAGUCUUAGGAUUUCCUGAAUAAUGCUCUAACACAGAUUUAAGUGCCUCUCUCAAGCUUAAACAACUAUUAAAUUUGAAAUGUUGGAUUAAUCAAAGUUCGUUUUGCAAGUGUAUAUGUUUUUGCUUGAAAGUACAGAAAUGAAGAUGGCACUGGAGAAUACGGUAAUUCAGUACUGGACAUAUUAGUAUCUAUGUAAGUUCAAUGGAGACAGAGUGAACCAGGCUCUGAAAAAAAUGCAUUGUAUACCUUCAUUCCAAGUUAAUAUAAAAGGUCACAAUCCUAUAAUUGUUUACAGAUUUACAAUUUCAGGUUAUCCAUUUGAAAUAAAGGGGAAGAAUUGGUGUAGUUCAUCAAGUGUGUUCAUAAGUCUUUGUGCUUAAUUUAAGACAGUGUAGCUCUGUAACUCAAGAGUGAAAAUAUUUAUCUGUUCUUGGUAAAAAACUGAAGUUUAAUGAACUACGUAUUUGGAGUUCACCCACCUAUAUGUAUAUGGAUAUAUACACUUAAGAAUUCACAUGAAAAUGCAAUUCUAAAAUGACAAAGCUGGCCAAGAAAUCUAUUUCUAACUGACUUACCAAUUCAUGUUGAUGGAGUCUUUCUGUGACUUUAGUAAUUCAUUUAUAUAACAUUUUAUUUUCUUAAUUGGUGAGUUAGUAUGUAGUUAAAAUGUUAAUACUGAAAUUUUCAUUUUCAAAUGCCAAAUAUGGUUUAGCCAGUACAAACAUCAUCAUAAGACACAACAUAUAUUUGACUACGGUUCAGUCAGAAUUUCCCUGUGAGAAUGUCACUAGACUGUCUUAUGCUUUUAAAAUCCUGUUCAAGUAAGUGAAUUUGUAGAAACAGCUAUUUUGCUUGAGUACUAGGAUGUUACUACCUGCAGUAUAAAACAACUAAUUUAGGCCAUUAGUUGUUUUAGAAGGUGGUGCUGUAACACAGAUGAGCAAUUUUUUUUUUCCCUUAAGGGAAAUUAAACAUGUUUUAUUCCAUUAGAUAUUACUGCAAUCCACUUUUAAAAAUGAAAGAUCAAAUUAUUCAAUUGCAUUCAGCCAAGUGGUUCUGUUUAUUCCUUUUCUCUUCAAAGGUCCAUUCACAAUUUAUUGCAGAAUGCAGUUUCACCAUGUUCCUAAAAAACACUUCGGUAUCCAUGGGGUUCAUCUCAUUAUGUCUGAAAUGGUCUGAAAAAGGGAUUUUAGUAUAUUACCUGAAAGCAUACCAGGAUACUUCAAACCUUAUAUAAGGUUCCAGGCCUCAGUCAUGGGGUGGAGAUAGCCCUAAUCUGUAUGGGCGGAGCUAUGCAGUCACAUAACCAUAACGGUGGCAACAAGGCGUGUGUACUGCGCUGAACAAAGCUGGUGGCAGUGCGGAGGAGAGCAAAGCGCUCUGAAUUCCCCUGAUAAAUCACAUCGAUGUUGUCCUGAAAAUGAACUGCAAAUUUCAGGGUAAAGCUUUAGAACCUAAUCCUCCACCCUUUGAUGUCAAGGGAGAAUGUGUCUUUUGCCUUAAACAAAUGACUGGGCUCCCAUAAAUCUAAGUUAUUUGCACAGUCAGUUAUUCUGAGACCUGUUUCUUGUUCUUCAAAGAGUAUUUUAAUGCAGCUUUAAAAGGCAGGAAUGAAAGAUCUUCAUGCAGACAGUACUGUUUUAAAAAUAUAUGUUAACGCGUAGGUACCUCCUGUGCUGCUGUUUACAACUGUGUACUGAGAUAAGCAAAGAUAGCAGUUGUGUGUACACUGUUGAGAAUAGUGAAGAGACCUCUUUGCCCUCCUCAUUCUGAUGUUAACUUCUGUGACAGCUACAUGCUGUUAUUUAGCUUCAUAAAUUAUGGACAGCAUGUAAUACUACAGUAAAAACAGACCUGGCACCAAUGUUUUGUUAGAGGUUACUUGGUGUCAUUUGAUUUUUUCUAUCUAGAAUUAAUUAAAAGUGUAUUGUACAUUUCCUUUUUUGUCUCUUUAAGGGCUGGUAUUAUAUACAGGAUAUCUGAUGUUUUAAGUUGUUAAUGGGGUACGCAAAUGUUUUUA